GUUUUCUUAUCUUGAACAUCAUGUACUGUUCCAGCCCACAGCCAGCCACCCAGGAAGGAAGCAUUUUUUUCCUUUUAGACAGAGGGUCUGGCCAGCCAUAUGGCCACGUUGUUGAAAGGCUCUGGAUCCCAGCAGGCCAUCUGACCCUGGGACUUGAAUCCCUUUCUCAGAAACCCCUGUGGGGAGAAGGCACAAUAAAGAGGAGUAAAUAAAUACAGAGAUGAGGGAACCCUCCUGCAGCCAUCCCUGCCCUGGCUCACACAGGUGAACAGAAAUUGUAGGAAAUUGCAAAGCAACCUCUGAUAAUGAACAUCUUGCCAGGAAAAUGUAUCUGAUCUCUGAGGAAAGGUGUUGGAAGAGAUGGGAGACGGCAGGAGGAUUGUCUCAAACACAAGUCUGAGUUCUUUUGACAGCAAUGUCUCCCUGUUUCUGAAAUAUAGAGAAUUCGACUGAAGAAGCGAGGAAGUUUUGGAGACAUAAUCAGAAAGAGAGAAAUGCAGACAAAGAAGUUGUUGAAACUAGCUCACUUCUCUUCAUGCUAUUUUCAGAAUUUUUCUUUACAUCUUGCACUAAAAACAACCCCGCGCAAAAGACAAACCUUUUCCAGAUGUUUUGGUGAAUUCACUUUUAUUCUCCAUGGGCAAUAAUAACCAGUUUUUGUUUAAGGCCUUAUGAUUUAAAAAGCAUGCACUACUAAUAUUUACAAUAAUAACAUUUUUGAUGUUUACAAGAAUCCCUUAAAAUUGCUGUUAUUUUUAUUUACUAUUAUCAUACUGACUUUUUCAAAUAAGACAAUUGAAAUUCAGUCUCUUUUUAAUCAUCCAAGUAAUAAGCAGUGGAAGAGGCACUUUAAAAUACAAAUUAUUAAACUCUGAAUUCUCUGCCUUUCUUCCUCCUUUUGCAUGACAAUAGGGUAAAAUGAGACUAGCAUGUUUUAAUAAAUAAAUUUUUAUUUGCUUUUUUGAGUAAGAGCUUGGAGAAAUCUAAUAUGUCAUUUUGUGUACUCUUAAAAAUCCUUUGCUUGAAGAAUCUAAUGACUUUUAUGUCUAUGGAUUUAUAUAUUAUUUGCACCAUUUUGAAAUAUUUAGGAAAGGAGAGAAUAUAAUUAUUUGCCAUGAAAAUAAACUAACACUAUCAGGACAGGAGUCGAUGCCAACCAAAGCAUCCUAUUGCCCCAUACGCUGUUGCUGGCAUUGAUGAAAGUUGAGGAUUGGAAGAAGCAGAAUCAGCCAGCCUCGUGUAGAUUUCAACUGGAAUCUGGGCUGUUCCUCUAGGGUGCACCAGGGGCCUUCCUCCUCCCCUCACUUUCUUCCAUUCCCCACUCAGCAGUUUCAGAGGUUGACAAGAAUUCAGCUCAGUCAGGCAAAUGUUGGUUUAUAACACGAACACUGACCAUCUUACAAUGAGAGAGGGGAAGCAAAGAGAGAUUGCCAGACAUCUACAGUAAAUCAAAAGACGAUGUCGGGAUCUUUCCAUGAUGCCAAGUGCUUGCUACUGAUGGGUUUUUCUCCUGAAGUAACUUUUAGCUACAUUUACAGAUUUUCAGAGGAAAGAACCCCUGUAGCCAUGUUUUCCCCCAAAGAUCAGGCUCCCUUUCCACCUCAGAAUGGCUUCUCACAAAUACAGUAGUUCUUCAACAACAGAUGGGUCUAAGUUGAAAGAGACCUUGUCAUUGAUCCAGUGGCAUGAGGACUUCUUCAAGUGUACAUGUGGAUCUGAUGGUCACGGAGGGACCACACGACAUUGAUGCAGUUCCUCUUAAUGGGCCAGCUCUUCAUCAGCCCUGAUGUUCAGGCACCCAUGUUUAAGAUGCAGCCCCCCAGCAAGACCAGCAUGAGUGCCACAGAGCUUUGUGGAGACUCGCCAACAUAAUAGGCCAGUAUUUGGGAGAUUAUGUGAUUUCAGUUUCAUACCAUCUGUCCCCAGAUUUCCUUCACUACCAGGCUGGCCACUGGCUUUGGAGGACAGUCAAAAUCC
This 1977-nucleotide long non-coding RNA is filed under the name Macaca mulatta (Rhesus monkey). Its description in RNAcentral is "lncRNA (ENSMMUG00000062845.1)". Lineage: Eukaryota; Metazoa; Chordata; Mammalia; Primates; Cercopithecidae. The record is from RNAcentral.